UGAUCUUGUAACAUGAGACCACUUAAUCAGACUGCAUGUUUGUAUGUGUACCAUAUAUGGGAGACGAAGAAGUGAAAAAUAUAUAAAGAACUAUGCCACGUGGCGUUCGGGGCUCAGUUCUUUGGGUACGAACCCAACUGAGCAGUGCUGGCAGGAAUACAGCUGCAUCCUGGAAAGAAAAGCCUCUGUGUCACGACUGUGCGAGAAUCCUGCUACAUUACUUGGGGGCUUGCAUCCGGGAUUCGGAGGCGGUGGUUUCCACCUCCUUUGCCACCGGGGAUGCGAACCUCGGGGCGCUGGGAGAGGCGGCUUCACCUGGUGCCAGCAGACCUUUUGAUCCUCAGGAGACUAGCCCUGCACUGGGGCAGGGACCCCGUGUGCACCAACAGAGCCCGUGAGGCCCAGGAGCCAGCUCAGGGAGCGCCCGUCAGACUGGUAAGAGCCCGGGUUCGUUUUGGCAGACCUGCCCCUGAGAGGCAGAAGGGGAGCCUGAUCACCUCCCAGCGUUGCCCUGGUAGGUCCAAGAGGGACGAGGAACGAAGCCAAAACUCUAAGGCGCUGGGUGCUGGCUGAUGGGUUGGAGUGGCCGUGUGACUGUGUGUGGGGAUUUGUCUCUCGUUCAUUUCCUGGGUCAGUGACUAUGAUCAUUAGAGACAACUGUCUCUGGUCGCUUUACCUCAGAACGGGGACUUUAAGGAAUAUUCCCAAGCAGCUGCUGAAACUCCUUUUGUUUCGGGGAAACUCCCUGUCUUCUCCAGACUGACACGGACUGGGGCGGGGGACAAAACAAAACAAAACAGAACAAAAGAAACCUGGAGUCUGCUCCUCGGUCUGACCUGAUAAGAUUUAAACCAAGGAAUUCUCUUUCUCUGCCUUCUGCUGGCACCUGGCCUCUUCUGCCUGCCCUUCCCCCCCCUCCUGUUUCUGCCCCACUUGGGGGGCGGCCUGCACAACUGGCUCCCAAUGCCUCAGGCACCAUCAACUCCUCCUCCCACCCUAGAUGUCCAGGAGCAAAGACCUUGGAUGUCAGAUGUCCCCACCAAUGUUCCAGGUAAAAAUUAACCAUGGGCAACAAAGUGUCUUCCGUGGACCCAAGUAAAAUGUAUUCAGUGUUUAAGCUAAUUUAAGUUUGUUGGUUUGAGAUAGACAAUGUUUAUCGACAUUAAAAAAAAAAAAAAAAGCUUUCAUUCUACCUAGAUUUAAGGUCAAAUAAACUCAUGUUAUCUCUGUUCCAAUUUGUUAGCAAAAAGAUGACUUAAAGUAAUGGUUAACUUUGUCUCAUAGUUUUCAUGGCUAAUUGUUAGCAUAGCUGUCAAAGUCUUUGGUAGCCUAAAAUGUUACAGUUUUUGCUUACAUAAUAAAUUGGGAUUAAAUUCAUUGGAUAUCCAACGAGAUAAGAGACUAAAGUGCUUAUUACUAGAUGUAAGUCUGUGCUUUUGACUUCUUGCAGAAAAACCAAAGAUAUUUGGAUCUGUUGAAAAAACAUGCUUUGUGCUUAAUUGAUUCAUAGUUUGCCAUCUAAGAAAUUCUAAUGUAACAGUUCAUAAUUGGUUACUACUUAGUUUUCACUGAUGACUAAGGUUUCUGAGAGUUAAAAUUCUGCUAAAUGUAGUAAAGACUAAUAAAAAUUUAAAAAACUCUACAUGUAAGAGUAGAUACAUAAAAAUAUGUAUAUAAGCAAUGGAAAUACCUUUUUUCUUAAAGAAUAAAAAAGACUUAGGUCAAAAUCUAAAAGCAAAAGAAAGUUGUAAUAAGUUUGUAAAAAAAAAAAUCUUUAAAAAAAAUUAUAUCUGGUCGGGAGGUCUAAGGUUAAACCUUUAAAUUACCCUAACUUAUCCACUAUCUUACAGACACAAAAUAAAAGCCCGGUGGCCUUCCUGGAAAGGUUAAGGGAGGCUCUCAUUAAAUAUACAGCUAUCUCCCCUAAUACCCCUGAGGCUGAGACGAUUCUAAAAGACAAAUCUGUCACUGGACUGGCCCCAAAUAUUCAGAAAAAAACUGCAAAAACUGGCUGUUGGUCCAGAAGGGACCCUUGAGGAGCUCUUAAGAGCUGCCAACUGGAUAUAUUACAACCAAGAUCAAGAGGAGAAUAAAAAAAUAAAAAAUAAUAAAAUCUUAAGUCUUAGUUGUGGUCUUAUGUACUAUGUCAGACCGGACUUCCCGAGGUCCUGGCACCAAGUGCCAUUUAUAUGGCUGCGUGGAGACAACCACUGGAGAUCUGAAUCCGCUUGGGGACCUGUAUCUGUGACGCUCAGAUAACCGUGUCCCUGCAAGGGACUGACGGGGCCUGGGGCUCUUCACCGAGGCUCCCCUGAACCAACUGUCUAUCAGAAACCCAGAGCCUCCGGUAACUCUAAAUAUAGAACAAAAACUGGUUGAUUUCCUUCUUGACACCUGAGCUACCUUUUCUGUCCUCCUUUUCACUCCAGGCCAACUAUCCAAACGCAGUACGACGAUUAGAGGCAUCUCCAGAAAACCUCUAACUAAAGUUUUCUCUCAGCCCCUGGGAGACAUGUGGGAAAAACAUGUCCUAAGGGCUGUGGAGAAAGUUGGAGAAGAGAUUAAGGAUGACAGAGAAGGGUUGAAAUGGUUGCCUUAAUAGAGCCGGAAACAGAAUUUCUGACACAGUUGAGGACCUGUUUGAGGCUAGAGUGGAACCAGUCUACGUUCUUAGGUAACUUUCUCUGGCAGUGUUAAAACUGGCAAAGCGGACAUUUCUAGUUAUAUUGGCUCAUGAUUGGGAGACCAAGGGACACAAUGAAGAAACUGCGGUGAGGGGUCUUUCAGAUGUGGAUUGCAGAAUCUAGGCUACGUGAGGCAGGAAUUGAGGAGACGAGUUGGUGGGAAGAAAUCGGAAAAGUUACAGAGCCUGGAAGGAUCGAUGACAUUGAAGAGUGAUACAGCAAGAGAAGCAGAGUAACAAAAAGGGUGAUCACAAGAUUGGAACCAGAGAGUAGAUGUAGAAAUUUGAGUCUUCAGACAUGGGCAGAGCUGGCUGACAGCCAGGUCUGGUGACAGCCAAGGGUGUGCAUGGCCAAGUCAAAAUCAGAGAAAAAGCACCAGAACCUUCCAUUUUGUCAAAAACCUUCUUUUCCAAAUAUUUUAAUUAAGUCUUACUUAUAAUUUAUAAUUAUACUACAUAGUUACAGUAUAAGUAGCAUAUGUAAAUAUACACUAUAUAUAAUGUAUAAUUAUAGAUUGCUUGGCAUACCCAGCAUGUUUUUAAAAACAUAAAAGAAAAAAAGGAAAACUCCACGCAUGUAUAUAUAGAUAAAAAUGACUAGAUGAACAUAAACCAAAAUGUUAACAGUGAGAUUAUGGCUGAUAAUUUUUCUUUUGCGUUUCAAAUGUUGUACAACAGCCAGUAGUAUUUCUAAAAUCUUAAAAGGCAAUGCAUUUUAUAUUUUGAAAGAAAAUGGUGUACCCCAAGUGAACUUCGCUCUUUCAGGAUAUCUCAGGCUUGAAAGGAAGUAAUAUUCUGAACCAUGGAACAUAUUGUCAUGUAUUAGUAGAGUACCUAAUGCAAAUAGUAAUUCCAAUGAGUCACUUCUUUCCGGCUCGUUUUAAACUAUGAGAUAGCAAUCAGGCCUAAUUAUUUCAAUUUAUAAAUAUUUACUCUCAAGACAAGUUCCUUAUGUUCAUAAUGUUGACUUAAUAAAUGCAGACUGACAUUGAUACAUUACAAGACUUCCUUUCCUAAGGGUUAUGUAUUAUGUUGAAAGAGCUUCAUGAAAGAGAAAAACAAUAGAGCAGGCAAAGAAUGCCUUCUCUGAUGACCCAGUUUUAACUGACAACCUCUCCAAUAAGCACAUACAUACAUUUCCUAUUCCCCUUUCAACUUUACUUCCCUCUAGGCCACUUAUUAACAUACUAUCUAUACCACUGGUAUAUGUGAAAUCUGGUAAACAGAUAUACACAUGUAUAUUCCUGUGUCUUUGGUAUAUGUUAAACCAGAAUUCCAGUUUACCUGGUGAUAAGACAUGUGAUAAGACAUGAGCAUUAUUUUUUUUUGUUUCUGUUUGUUUGUUUGUUUGUUUUUAAAUUUGAAUGAGAGAGAGAGCAAGCACGUGAGCCCAGGAGAGGGGCAGAGGGAGAAGAAGAAGAGAGAGAAAUUCCAAGCAGUCUCAGGGCAGAGCCCGACAAGACACGGGGCUUGAUCCCACAAUCCUGAUGUAUGACCUGAACCAAAAUCAAGAGUCAGAUGCUCAACUGAUGGAAGCCACCCAGCCUGAGUAUUUUUUUACUUUUUUAAAGCUUCCAGGGUGAUUUUUACGAGUAGCCAAUAUUCUGUAUAAUCAACUCCGUUAAAUCCAAAUGGAAUUUUGGGAGCCUUUCUCCUCUGUUCCAUGAAUAUCAAAACAUAGUCUUGACUGUUAACAUUCCUGUCACCUUUGAUGCCCCAGCUGUUCUGAAUACCUGGUCAUUCCGUUCCUGGCUCACCACCAACCGCUAGAAACAACGCUGAUGCACCUAUCCUCGGUGUCUGCCUUUUUUGUCUCUCCUUUGGGAAAUUUAACUAAACAAAUCAACUGAAAACGAGAACAGUGGACGCCUAAGCUCCUUUGAAAAAUAAUUAAGUAAAGGGCAAAUCCCAUCUCUUAGGUAUUUCAAAAAGGCAAAAGAGAAGAAACACCUUCGAUGGAAAAGUCACUCUGGCACUAACUUGUCGAGGGCAGCCUGGAAAUGUUUAACGGCGAGCACAGAGGCACAGCUGGCCAGAUUGCAGUAAUGAGGCGUUCCAGACGCACCGGAGCACCGGCUGGCCAAGCUCACAGAGGCCGCUUCAAGAUGAUUCAUGGGGGAUCAUGAAGCACCAGCUGGAAGGACACCCCUGGCAAAACCCACUCGGGUGACGUAAACUAUACCUUAAAAAAUCACUUUCAUGGGCCACCUGGGCGGCCCAGUCCGUUGAGCGUCCGACUUCAGCUCGGAUCACUACAGCUCAGCUCAUGAUCUCGGGGUUCGUGAGUUCCAGCCCCGCGUCAGGCUUUGUGCUAAGAGCACGGAACCUGCUUUGGAUCCUCUGUCUCCCUCUCUCUCUGCCCCUCCCCUGCUUGUGCUCUCUCUCUCCCUCUCUCAAACAUAUAUAAACAUUUAAAAAAUAAAAAAUUCACUUUCUUAACCCACAUCAUCCUUUUUGUUUUCAAGUUUUGCCUUUGAAAUAAUCACUGACUUCUAAGAAAUUGGAAAGAUAAUACAGAGAGGUCCCAUGUACCCUCUCAGUUUCUCCGCAUGGCUGCACUUUGUGUCACUAUAGGAAACUGGCACUGGUACAUGUGUCAUGUAUGCCAUUUCGGUCACGGUGUGUAGAUUCAUGUAACCAUCACUGCCGUUGAGACACAGAACUAGUCUAUCAUUUUUCAUUCCUCUGGGGUAAAUGCCCAGAAGUACGACUGCUAGGUCUUCCUGGCAGGCUGAUCUUUUUACCAGUGUGUUCCUCUCUGUUUCUGGAAAUUUUCUUUGCUCUAAAGAUGUUUUUCUGACUAAUGUUUGCAUGAUUCUUUUUUUUUUUUUUUUUAAUUUUUUUUUUCAACGUUUAUUUAUUUUUGGGACAGCGAGAGACAGAGCAUGAACGGGGGAGGGGCAGAGAGAGAGGGAGACACAGAACCGGAAACAGGCUCCAGGCUCUGAGCCAUCAGCCCAGAGCCCGACGCGGGGCUCGAACUCACGGACCGCGAGAUCGUGACCCGGCUGAAGUCGGACGCUUAACCGACUGCGCCACCCAGGCGCCCCAUGCAUGAUUCUUAUUCUCUUACUUGCAGCCUAUCUAUAUAGUUAUAGCUGAAUUGGAUUUAUUAUAGACAGUUUAUCACUGUGUCAUUUUUUUUUACUUUAAAACUCAUCAAUAGACUUUAUUUUUUAGAGAUUUUAGGUUUGCAGAAAAAUUGAACAGUGAGUAGAGAGUUCCCAUAUACCCUCCUUCUCCUUCCCUACCCCACCCCCAUUUCCCUGUUAUUAGCACCUUGCACUAGUGUGGAACAUUUGUUACAGUUGAUGAACCUAUAAUGAUACAGUAUUAUUAACAAAGUCCAUUGUUUACAUUAGUGUUCACUCUAUGUAUUGUAUAUUCUACGAGUUUGGACAAAUGCAUAAUGCCACAUACCUGCCAUUGCAGUGUUACAUAGAACAUAGUUUCUCUGCCUUAAAAACCCCCUAGGCUCUGCCUAUUCAGUCUCCCCUCUCUCCCAGGCAAAUCCUUGGCAACUAACAAUUUUUGUACUGUCUCUGUACUGUCUGUGCAAUCUUGCCUGUUACAGAUUGUCAUACAGUUAGACUCAUACAAUAUGUAGCCUUUUCAGAUUGGCUUCCUCUACUUAGCAACAUGCAUUAAAGUUUCCCAGACUUCUUUUUGUUUCUUUUUUGGUUCGUUUCUUUUUAAGACUGAAUACUAUUGCAUUGUACGGAUGUGUCAUAGUCUAUCCAUUCACAUGUUGAAGGACAUUUCCAUUGCUUCCAAAUUUUGGUAAUUAUGAAUAAAGCUGCUAUAAACAUUCCUGUGCAGUGUGUGUGUGUGUGUGUGUGUGUGUGUGUGUGUAAAUUUCCAACUCAUUUAGUAGACUCCUAGGAAAAUUGCAUCCAUUUUAUUUCUCCAGCAAUGGAAGUCUCCUAGCCAGCACUAUUUAAAAAGAAAAAUCAAUUGUAUUUUUAAUCUGUAGCCGAUUGACAUUUUUCUUUUACUCUGACCAUAAUUUCUUUUAAUCAUAAUACUAACCCAUCAAGUCUGCUCUCUUUAGCCCAAAGGAUGAAAAAAGGUGUAGCCCAGAAAGACAGUAUCUUUUCAGUAUUAGCAAUCACCUGACAGUAAUUGAACUACUGUUGUACCCAGAGUGCUAAACUAAGUAUCGAAGAUACUCUGUGCAAAGCCUUCUCACAUUCAGAACAAAGAAGUAGAAACUCACUCAAUACAGAUUCUGUAGGACUUAUUGUGCUAUACCUACAUAUAUAUUUUGGUGAUAGAAAUGAAGAGAUUUUUAAAAAGUAUUAUCUGACUGGCAUAGGGAAUCAUAUACACCGCAUAAUUAUGAAAGGAAACUGAGAAAAUUAAAUGAAGUUAACUGAAAAAUAGUUCACAUGGGAUUAGAUUUCAAAAAGCAAAAUUAGUUUAUCAAAUGAUUAGUUCAUAUUGAAUGAAAAAUCGUCACCUUAUUUUAAGUUCAUUCUGAAUUUGAUGUGUUUUUGCUUAAUGUUUACCCUUUAAACCAUGAAUUUUUUUCUUCAGCUGUCCCUGGUUUCUGUCUGCCAAACUACAGAUAAACACUAGACAUUCUUAAUACAAAGAGAGUACGCUUCUAAUGUGUUAAUGUUUAUCUCAGGAAAAGGUGACUUUGCUACCACUUACAUAAUUUAAGUCUGUGCUGUUUUCAGCUACUAAUAUUUUAUACGAGGGUGAAAUGCAUCUUUCAUUUUCUAAAAAAAAUUUUUUUAAUGUUUAUUUAUUUUUGAGAGAGAGAAAGAGACAGAGCACGAGUGGGGAGGGGCACAAAGAGGGAGACACAGAAUCUGAACUCCGUGCUGUCAGCACAGACCCCAACGCAGGCUCGAACCCAUGAACCGUGAGAUCAUGACUUGAGCUGAAGUCAGACGCUUAACCGACAGAGCCACCCAGGUGCCCUGCAUCUUUCAUUUUUUUAAUUUUUUUAUUUAUUUUUUAUUUUUUAUUAUUUUUUUGCAUCUUUCAUUUUUUUAAAUAAACAAUGGCAAUAUAAAUAUUCUACAUUCAUCCUGAAAGUAAUAGAACUCUAGUAGAAAGGGAGGAAUAAAAUCUGCCUGCUUGCAUAACACAAUGCAGAAGUCAUUCAGAGAAAUAUGCAGAUUUCACCCUUCAGUCUCAACAACCUUAAUUCUUCAGUUUAUUAAUAGGAUGUGAAUCUACUCCGCCCCUGCUUUGUAACACAGCUCAGUUCUGCCCACACCUUCUUUCCAGUUGCCUGCAUGAACCACCCCAUCGGGAUGGAUGCCGCGUCUGGUGCCUCUGAGGACCGGGGAACCUUGGGUUGACCUGGGGGCAGAAAAGGACUGGUACCUCUAACCAAGCCCACCAUGGUCUUCCACAGACACUCUGUCCCCUUUCUAGUGUCUGCUUAAUCCUAAAUGACCAAUUUAAAGCAGGGCACACACUGUCCAGAUAGUCACGUAUAUAUUCCUUAAGUAUUUACUGAGUAUCCACUAUGUGCCACACCUUGUUUUUGGUGUUGGUAUGACAGCAGUGAACAAAAGAAAUUCUCUCUCAUGGAGCUUAUAUUCCUGUUUGGGAUAUAGAUAAUGAAUAAAUAUGUAAGGAGAAAGACAUACACAUAUAUAAUGCAAUGGCCAUGGUAAUAAAUGCCACUGAGAAAAGUAAAGCUGAAUAAGAAAGUAGAGAUUGGCAGGGUGACAGGUCAUAGAUGUGUCAGGGAAGGCCUGUGUCAGAGGUCAGGUGGUGACCACUGAGUGAAGACCUAAGGAAGACCUAAGAGAAAGGUCAUAUGGAUAUGUAGAAAAAUAGAGUCCCAGGCAAGUGCAAAGGCCCUGAGGUAGGAUCAUGUUUGUCACAUCCAAAAAGAUAAGAAGCCAACAUGACUGAGAAAGAGUGAGUGAACAGGAGGUAGGUAGAUGAAGUCUGAGGGGAAGCCAGGGACCCGAUCAUGGGUAGCUUUAGGGGCAAUGAAUAGGAUAUUGGAUUCAUUCUAAGUCAAGUAGAAAGUUACUGAAAGGUUUUUGCUGUUUGCUUAGAUCUGGCUCCUCUUUUCCAGCAACCACCUUGGAUUCUGAAGGAAGGACAUCCCUUCAUGAGGCUCUUCUAUGGGAGGGUGGUUAUUUGAGAAUGAAUAAUCACGGUAGAAGUGACAGAAAGAGCUGUGCUUUAGAACAUACUUUCAAUUUAGAGUCAAAAGAUUUUGGUGGGGAAUUAAAUAAAUGGUGUGAGCAAAACAGAAGGGCCAAGGGAGAGGCUGAGUUUGUGAGGCUGAGGGACUAGGUGAAUGGUAUACCAUAUUCCGAAAUGGGCAACACUGGGGGCGGAACAGAUAUCUAGAGAGAUUUCAGGAAACUCCACUAUAGUAGAUGCUGGAACUUAACAUUUUGUUUUUUUGAGACAGGUGUAUGGCCUUCAAGAAUACCCCAAAUUCAUAAAUACCACCAUAAGCCUUAAUAUUUCCCAUAAGAUAUAGUAACGUGGCCUCUUUUUAGCCUCUUAAAAAUCUCUCCGUUGCUUGAGAACAAUUAUGCCAGAGGCCAGAGCACCCUCUUGAAAUGGUGUCACAGGUGUCUCCUAUUCCUCUGUGGGACCACCUGAUGCCCCCAUCUAGAGUGUGAUUGUUCCACAGACAAAUUUGACAUUUCACUCUAGCAUAUCCCACACUUUUCAUUGUUAGCUAAAAAUUGUUUCAGGCAUUUCACUUCGGUCAUCAGCAUUAGCAGUUAGUUUCCUUUUUGGACACUUUUCAAAAAGAAAUCAAAUUCGUUUCACCUUAUGAGUGUUUCUGAAUAUGGGACAAUGACUCAGCAUAAGAAAGCCAAGAGAAGGCAGAAUUGCUAAAUCAGCUAUGAGCAUCUCUCACCAGCUGAGUAGAUCAUCAGGAAUAUCAACAUGCCCAUCCCCAAAAUAUUCAGCUGUAUGAAUCAGUAAAAUUUGAAAUUCUUUCAAGUUAUGAGCCAGGGAGUCUCACAAAUGAUUAAAACCAUGAAUUUUAAAUCCAGGAAUGCCAAUGAUCUACUGUCUGAAUUUAUUACAUUCAGUUUCUCCUAAUUUGUUCUAUAUCCUGUAUCCUGCUGGUAGAGUUGUGCAGUCCGAGACUCCUCCCCUUCUGCCCUAUGAUAAUGCAGAGCUUCCCCUGCCUACUUUUAAGAAUUUGCUAAGAAUGUCAAUAAAGUUUUAGAAAUCCUAAAGAGGACAUGUUUGAAACAGAAAAGCCUUGGUGCCAGUCCCAUCUCUGCCAUUUACCAACUGUGUGACUUCCAGAAAGUUGCUUAGCCUCUCUGAGCAUGUUUCUCUCUCUUUAGGUGGGGAUAAUGACACCUAACUUGUGAGGUGGUGGAAAAUGAACCAGAAUUAGGUCCCUGUGGUAGUCAUGAAGAGGUAGUCAUGAAGAGGUAGUCAUGAAGAUCUCGUCCUUGAAGAGAUCCUGCUGCGAGGAACUCAGUUGGCCAACAUCUCUGGCUGCCACCUCUGUGGAUUCCCUGCACCCUUAGAAUAUCUAAAAUUUUUGUCUCCCAAGAACCAAUUUUCACCCCAAUGGGGGCAACAUUGCCCUUGCUGAGGAGACACCCCGGACGGCAACCUGAGUUCUAGUUCUGCACUGACUGAUUACUCAACCAUUUAUAAGUCACUCUCGCUCUUUGGGACUCCGUUUUCUCAUCUGUAAAAUGAAAAGGUUGAACAACGUGCUGUUGAAACCUCUCUCGCAGCCCUGGAGUCCUAUGAGUUCUGCAUGGCACUGGUGGACACAGCGUAACUGACUUCUCCCGCCCUCCCUGCUCCACUCCCCACCUACCUUUACAGAUAGGACAUGUGGUCGCUGUAUCUUAUCGUGAUUGUUAGCUUGCGUGUCAGGCUCCCUCCAAAACAACAUGAACUGCUUGAAGACAAAGUCCACAUGCAUGUGAUACAGUAGCUGGCAGGAAGCAGGCACCUGGUCAAUGUUUGUAGAAUGGGCUGCACAGUGUACCUACAGGGUGAACUAGAUGCAACUGCCCAGGUUAGACCUUUUGACAGCAAAUCUAUAGGUUAACUCAGGCAAACUAUGGAAUUAAAGGACACCUGCUGUGUACCUAGCUCUCAGGUCGAUGUCUGACAUGUUGGGCGGUCAAGAGAUGUUUAAGGAAGGUAAGUUGAAGGUAAGGAAGGUAAGUAAAGAAGGAAAGUAAGACAGGGAAAAGGUAGACAAAUCAUAUUGUGCCAAUAUUUUAUUUCUUCAAAAAUUCCUGGUAACUUGUAAAAGGACUUCAAUCUAAAGUGGAACCUGAUUAUAUGAAACGGAGAAUGUCGCACACGCACCUCCUAGAAGAACAGAACUUAAGAACCUAGAGACUGAUUUCUCAGAAAUGUCUGAUGUACAGAAGACCAAGACUUAUCCCCUGACCAAUGAGCAACUGCCAAGAAUCUUUUCCCAUUCGCAAGCCAUGGAACUCACUGCUUGGACUCUGGCUGGACAUCCCCCUCUUUGCACACCUUGCCUAUAAAUACAGCCUGCUCCAAACCCUCAGCAGACUCACCUGUAGCCUGCAACGUCACGCAUUUAUGGAAUUGCAGUUCCUCUGCUGUUCCCAAAUAAACUCAAUUUCUG
RNAcentral lists this long non-coding RNA (11264 nucleotides) under Lynx pardinus (Iberian lynx). Lineage: Eukaryota; Metazoa; Chordata; Mammalia; Carnivora; Felidae. The record is from RNAcentral.